RNAcentral lists this ribosomal RNA (786 nucleotides) under uncultured bacterium. RNAcentral's name for it is "bacterial SSU rRNA". It matches the Rfam family "Bacterial small subunit ribosomal RNA", at positions 584 to 1377 of the family's 1533-position model. The record is from RNAcentral.
CAAGUUGGAAGUGAAAUCCAUGGGCUCAACCCAUGAACUGCUUUCAAAACUGUUUUUCUUGAGUAGUGCAGAGGUAGGCGGAAUUCCCGGUGUAGCGGUGGAAUGCGUAGAUAUCGGGAGGAACACCAGUGGCGAAGGCGGCCUACUGGGCACCAACUGACGCUGAGGCUCGAAAGUGUGGGUAGCAAACAGGAUUAGAUACCCUGGUAGUCCACACUGUAAACGAUGAUUACUAGGUGUUGGAGGAUUGACCCCUUCAGUGCCGCAGUUAACACAAUAAGUAAUCCACCUGGGGAGUACGACCGCAAGGUUGAAACUCAAAGGAAUUGACGGGGGCCCGCACAAGCAGUGGAGUAUGUGGUUUAAUUCGACGCAACGCGAAGAACCUUACCAAGUCUUGACAUCCUGCGACGCACAUAGAAAUAUGUGUUUCCUUCGGGACGCAGAGACAGGUGGUGCAUGGUUGUCGUCAGCUCGUGUCGUGAGAUGUUGGGUUAAGUCCCGCAACGAGCGCAACCCUUAUGGUCAGUUACUACGCAAGAGGACUCUGGCCAGACUGCCGUUGACAAAACGGAGGAAGGUGGGGAUGACGUCAAAUCAUCAUGCCCUUUAUGACUUGGGCUACACACGUACUACAAUGGCGUUAAACAAAGAGAAGCAAGACCGCGAGGUGGAGCAAAACUCAGAAACAACGUCCCAGUUCGGACUGCAGGCUGCAACUCGCCUGCACGAAGUCGGAAUUGCUAGUAAUCGCAGAUCAGCAUGCUGCGGUGAAUACGUUCCCGG